Molecule: long non-coding RNA, 3103 nt
Organism: Marmota monax (woodchuck)
Lineage: Eukaryota; Metazoa; Chordata; Mammalia; Rodentia; Sciuridae
Exons: 2
Source: RefSeq, a predicted model, not a curated record
UCAAGGAGUUCCAAGGAAGCUGAGGUUGGAGCAUCACUGGUCCCUAGAGGAAUGUCAGCCACUAAAAGCCAGUAAAUUGGAUUUUGGAUAAAGUUCCUGAUAUGGGCAUAUUUUUAGUGCACAAAAUCGUUUGGACCGCAAGGAACUGACCAACCAACACUUUUCCACCAAAAGCUUUGUCCUCGACCCUUGCAACCUUUUGCUUUAAAGUUCAGAUUGUAGCGAGCAAGCCCUGCAGCUGCUCCCUCUCCAGGUCCCGAGGUGGCUCCGCGCUCCCCGGUGGGGGCGGAGCCAGGGGGCGGGGCGUGUGGCUGGAGAAUUUUCCUGGGUUCCCUCUGAGUGUCCCAGGCCUGGCUCCCCGGGAGACUCCGGGUCCUCAAACUUCUUAUCACCUUCUGCAAAGGAGGACAGACUAUUUGGCCACCUGACUGCAAGGAUCAGACAUGAGGGGAAGGACUCCCCAGGUCAGGUGACUGUGUCUGGCCACUGUUUCUGGCUCAGCCAUCUCUCCAGGACAUUCAGGCAUCUCACUGAAUUCUGCCGAGCGCAGGGGGAAGAGUUCCCAGAGGCCAUUACUAUCAUAAAAUACGGAGCUUCACAAGCUGAUGUGCCUGUCUGCAAAGUCCCUGUGGAGACCAGGCGGACACACAUAAAUGGGCAAAUGGUUUUUAACCAUAGGUGCUGACACUGAGUUUCCUGAGAGCGGUAGACACUCAGCUCCUACUUGGGGAUUUGUAGGAAGAAUUUCACGGAGCGUGCACCACAUUUUCUUUAAAAACAAAAACGAAAAUAAGAAUCAAAACAGUGACAACAACAGCAAACCCAAACUAUUUCAUUAUUUCCAGAUGUGUUCCUCAGUUUUCCAUUGCUGUGAUAUACAGCUGAGAAAAAUCAACUUUAAAAGAAGUAAGGUUUAUGUUGGCUCCCAGAUGUGGGGUUUCCAUGCAUGGUGUGUAUGGACCAUUACUCCUGGACCUGGAGUGGGGCAGCACCUCAUGGCAGGAGUGCAUGUUGGAGGAAGCAGCUCACCUCAUGGUGACCACAAAGGAAGACAGGAAGAGGGUGGGCCAGAGGCCCAAUAGCCCCUUUAAGGACACGCCCCCAGUGUCCUAACUUCCUCCCAUGAGGCCCCACCCCCAAAAGCUUCCAUCAUUUCCCAACAGCACCACAGACUGGUGACUAAACCUUUAACACGUGGCCUUUAUGAUUCAAACUUUAGCCCUAAAUGGCCUUUUUAUUUAUAGUGACAUUACAUAUACAUACCUAUAGGAGGUGCGUGGAAUGUGUUCCCUGGGGCUUUUGAUAGAACCUUUAUCUCUAUAACUCUUUUUUUUUUUACAACUGAAAAGAGUUUCAUAAAGGUAAAUUGGAGGUUUUCCUUUUGAUGAUAAUUUCCAUUAUCACUUGAAGUGAAGAAAUUCUCAGAACAUAGUUUAGAAUCAUGCCUAAGGUACACAUUUCAGUACAAUCUUAUUCUACAAUGAGGCUAAACUGUGCUUCUUAUUUGUCUAGUAUUGCCACCUGUAUUGGCUAGUAUUUUUCAUGUCCGGUGUUUGCUGACCCCAAGGUCUUGAAGAUAUCCUAUAUUAUCUAAGAUCCCUCUUUUUUGCCUCUUGGCCAAUAAUAGGUCCUCCAGAUACCUGGAAUUGUGCAUAACUAUAAUGAAAUAUGGGAGGUAGACUAUUUUAUAGAGGAAAAAAAGAUUUAUUUAGCUCACAGUUUUGGAGGCCAAAAGUCCAAAUGGCAUGGUGCAGGUUCUAGUGAGGGUCUUCUUUGGCUGAGUAAUGUCAUGGAGGGAGCAUGUGUGUAUCUCUGUCCCUCUGGUCUCUCUUCCUCUCCUUAUAAAGCCACCAAAAUCCAGUCUCAUUACCUGUCUAACCUAAUCAUAUUCCAAAGAAACACCACAGUCAGAAUAAAUUUCUACCCUUUUCCUAUCUCCCAGUGGGGAUUAAAUGUCACUAUUAGUUUUGGGAGGAUAAAGCAUGCUUAACCCAUAGCACACUUCUUUAAAAACCAAACAAAUCCACUCAGUCUGUCCUGGAGGAAUUUUAAGUUAAGUAUUUAUUUAUAUUUAAACUUCCUCCUAUUGUGAAAUAUGAUAUGCAUUCAGAAAAGUUCAGAAAGCUUCUGAACUAGCUUUGAUUAAUGAUUGUAAAUCAAACCUGCAUGUAAACACCUCCACCCCCUCCUUCAAGAAAUGGCCUGGGGCCAGCCUCCGAGCCUGCUCCGGGGCUCUCUGCCAACCCCAUUCUCCCUGUGCUCUCUCAGGGUAGUAAAGAUGUCCCAUAUAUUUUCUUUGACGGCUAGUAUUUUUCAUGUCCAGUGUUUGCUGACCCCAAGGUCUUGAAGAUAUCCUGAAUUACCUUCUAAGAUCCCUCUCAUUUUGCCUUUUAGCCAAUAGGUCCUCCGGAUACCUGGAAUUGUGCGAGGCCACGGCCAAGAGGUCUGAUGGCCUGGUCACCAGAGAUCUCUCUGGAAAGAGCUCUCUGCCUUCCUUGGAAGCCGAGGGUCAACAGACCAGAAAUGUCAUGUUGUGGGAUGACAUUUGAGCUUCCUGGUCUGUUCUGCUGAUCGAUUUUCCUUUUUCCUUGCGCUUUCACAUUGGGCUCAUUUCAGAACCUUCGUUAUCAAUCUCGGUGUCUUCCAGAACACUCCAGAGUGUCACAGCUUUUCCAUUUGCAUGAAUUUUAAUCAGCCUGUCAAGUUUCACGCACACCCAUAUGUCAGACAUUUGACUGAAAUCACACUGAUUUAUAGAUCGACGUUUAGAGAAUUGACAUUGAUACUGAGUUUCUCAAUCCACAAACAUGGUGUAGAUCUCCAUUUAUUUGGGUCUUUAAAUUUCCGGAAGUCACUUUAUAUUUUGCUCUGUAGAGUGUUGCAUGUCAUUGGUUAAAUGCAUCCCCAGGUAUUUAGUAUUCCUGGUGUCAUUAUAAAUUAUAUACUUAAGGGUGAUUUUCCAUUUCUUGCUUGUAUGCAGACAUAUGACUGGUCUUUUGAAUUUUUAUCUUCAUCCAGCAAACCUGUUACAAUGUUUCAAUUUGAAUAAUUUUUCUGUAGCCCCCUUUUGGAUUUUCAUAAUAAAAUAUCACAUUAUUCAUAA